This 468-nucleotide ribosomal RNA is filed under the name uncultured bacterium. RNAcentral describes it as "partial 16S ribosomal RNA". It matches the Rfam family "Bacterial small subunit ribosomal RNA", at positions 28 to 507 of the family's 1533-position model. The record is from RNAcentral.
GACGAACGCUGGCGGCGUGCUUAACACAUGCAAGUCGAACGGAAAGGCCCUGCUUUUGUGGGGUGCUCGAGUGGCGAACGGGUGAGUAACACGUGAGUAACCUGCCCUUGACUUUGGGAUAACUUCAGGAAACUGGGGCUAAUACCGGAUAGGAGCUCCUGCUGCAUGGUGGGGGUUGGAAAGUUUCGGCGGUUGGAGAUGGACUCGCGGCUUAUCAGCUUGUUGGUGGGGUAGUGGCUUACCAAGGCUUUGACGGGUAGCCGGCCUGAGAGGGUGACCGGCCACAUUGGGACUGAGAUACGGCCCAGACUCCUACGGGAGGCAGCAGUGGGGAAUAUUGCACAAUGGGCGGAAGCCUGAUGCAGCAACGCCGCGUGCGGGAUGACGGCCUUCGGGUUGUAAACCGCUUUCGCCUGUGACGAAACGUGAGUGACGGUAAUGGGUAAAGAAGCACCGGCUAACUACGUG